AUGAACGCUGGCGGCGUGCUUAACACAUGCAAGUCGAACGGUGAAGCAGAGCUUGCUCUGUGGAUCAGUGGCGAACGGGUGAGUAACACGUGAGCAAUCUGCCCCUGACUCUGGGAUAAGCGCUGGAAACGGCGUCUAAUACUGGAUACGAGCUGCGACCGCAUGGUCAGUAGCUGGAAAGAUUUUUUGGUCAGGGAUGAGCUCGCGGCCUAUCAGCUUGUUGGUGAGGUAAUGGCUCACCAAGGCGUCGACGGGUAGCCGGCCUGAGAGGGUGACCGGCCACACUGGGACUGAGACACGGCCCAGACUCCUACGGGAGGCAGCAGUGGGGAAUAUUGCACAAUGGGCGGAAGCCUGAUGCAGCAACGCCGCGUGAGGGAUGACGGCCUUCGGGUUGUAAACCUCUUUUAGCAAGGAAGAAGCGAAAGUGACGGUACUUGCAGAAAAAGCGCCGGCUAACUACGUGCCAGCAGCCGCGGUAAUACGUAGGGCGCAAGCGUUAUCCGGAAUUAUUGGGCGUAAAGAGCUCGUAGGCGGUUUGUCGCGUCUGCUGUGAAAUCCCGAGGCUCAACCUCGGGCCUGCAGUGGGUACGGGCAGACUAGAGUGCGGUAGGGGAGAUUGGAAUUCCUGGUGUAGCGGUGGAAUGCGCAGAUAUCAGGAGGAACACCGAUGGCGAAGGCAGAUCUCUGGGCCGUAACUGACGCUGAGGAGCGAAAGGGUGGGGAGCAAACAGGCUUAGAUACCCUGGUAGUCCACCCCGUAAACGUUGGGAACUAGUUGUGGGGACCAUUCCACGGUUUCCGUGACGCAGCUAACGCAUUAA
This 824-nucleotide ribosomal RNA is filed under the name bacterium. RNAcentral describes it as "bacterial SSU rRNA". It matches the Rfam family "Bacterial small subunit ribosomal RNA", at positions 29 to 863 of the family's 1533-position model. The record is from RNAcentral.